This is a long non-coding RNA of Cyprinus carpio (common carp), 640 nucleotides long. NCBI's taxonomy places the organism in Eukaryota, Metazoa, Chordata, Actinopteri, Cypriniformes, Cyprinidae. The record is from Ensembl.
GAAGACAACAGGAAGAAUGAUUGUGUGGGGGUGUGAAUUUCCAGGUUGCAUGACUACUGCACUGAAAGCGGAACUUUCAGGUUCUUGCUGCAAAAAGAAAUGCCAAACAGCAGCCUAACCAUUUCUGCCAGCAACAGUGAUACAUAGGUGAUAGUUUCACUUACACAAUACGACCAUGGGUGAAAAUACCACUUGCCCUGUCGAGGGUUGCGUCCCUGACAGCCGCCCGUCACUUGGACUUGCUGUUGGUUUGCCUAUAUUCUUUUUGGCUUUGCUGCUGGUGGGGAUAGGAGUGUUUUUCUGGUUUCGACACAGAAAAUCGGUUGCAACUGAGUUAUCUAACAAACUUAAGAGCCAAGAUAAGAGCCAAGAUGGUCAUUCCAGGGAGUCUCCGUACAGUGAAUACACUGGAGGACUUCAACCCACACCACAGAGCCCAAUCUAUGAGAACUUUCAUAGUGGACAGUCCAAUCUGCAUGAAUUUCAGCGUUGUGCUGUACAGAGCGAGGACACGCACAGAGACCAUCAAGCAUACCUGCAGUGUGAUCCACAUGAUGCAAUCUACAGCAAUGAUCCUGCCCUCUUCUAUCCAGAUCAGGCUGAAAUCUCUGAGGAUGUUUACAUCAUGCCAGAUGCUUGA